AGGCAGCACCUGCUCACUUGCAGCGACGCGCUACCUGGAGAUUUGUUGCUGGAGCUGAACGCAUGCACCAGAGGGACUUAAAGGUUCCCACAUCAGGAGGGGGAGAAUGAAAACCAAACAGAAAAACUAAGGAAAUUGAUGUCAGGAACACUUUCUCUCAUGUACUACUGCCUGCUUUCAAGGGGAUGUGGAAAAAGAUAGCUGUUUUGGGAAUUUAAAUUGGGCCUUUCCAUAAGACUAACACGACUAUGUUGACUGCAAAUUUCACUGCAGUUAGGUCUUGGAGACAAAGAAAGUUUCUGUAACAUUUUCACAAGUACUUAUCAGCAUAUUUAAUUUCUAAUUAAUUAUUUAUAAUGUUCUAAUAAGCAUAAUUAAAAACAUUAUCCUGCCAGAAAGAACAGGCUAGGCUUUUUCCUACUUUGUGGGUGAUUUGUUCAUGAUGAGAUGUUGUUAAAAAUCACUCAGCUAUGCCUGCACAUAAUGUAUAUUUCCAAUAUAAAGAGAGAAGCAACCACUAGAACCGAGAGUGUACAGCUGGAUUUUGUAUGAGAGAUGACAAGACAUAUUAAGCAGGAAGAAGACAAACACUGAGACAAGAACAUAUUCUAACUGCUGCUUCAAACACACCACUUGGUGAAGCAACAACUGGAGGGCUGGUAAUGUACCUAGAGAUCAUUUCCAAAAGAAAGAAGCAGCAAGGCUAUCACUUGCAGAAAGGCUUCCGAAGAGAGUUUCCGUGGUUUGCUGAAAUGGUGCGACUCCCCCAGGCUCAGUCAGACUGAGCGCACUCGGGACUGCUUUCAAAAGAACUGAGGACAAUUGAAAAAGAACAGAGUCCAACAGAGUGUGUACGGUGGCAGUUUUAAAGCUACCACUUCAGCUUUACAUUCUUUCUCAUUUGUGGAUAUGAAGUCAUAAGGAGCUGAUUAUUAUAAUGCAAAAAUUAAUGAUCAUACCCCCAGGUUACUGCACAUGAAUCUUUCUUUGGAGUUUUUGGAAAGAAGCACUAUAAGAGGUGCAGCACAGAUUGACUUCUCUUCAGCUGGGCCAUGUUAGUGGCAGUGGCCUCUCUGGCAUGCAGGCUGGGUUCGUGGUCGGUCAGCGACACACUGCCCAGCACAUGCUGGAUGUGCCUGGCAGUCUCCACGAUUGAGAAAGACAGCUCUUCACUCUGCUCUUCCCCACACGACUAGAUUGGUACUCCAAUUUGAAUGUCCUGGAUUCGGAUAUUCAAGAAUAAAACCAUAAAUAGCUACACAUCAUAGGGAAGGCAUGGAGCACAAGUGACGAGGUUUUCCCAGACCUGAGCUUGCUCUGCACAUGGUCACUCUGGGCUUUUGUGUUGUGGUCCAGUGAUUGUACUUUGAAAAACCAGCUGAAGUGAGGAGGCUGGGUCAAAAGACAGUGGAAGCCCCAAGACUGUGAAUAAGAAGUGAGAGCUGAGACUCAUUUUUAAAAAAACAGAAAGUCUCUGUACUCUGUAAUGCAUCUUUUCUGCCUCAACGUCUCACUCAGUAGUUGCUGGAGUAUUAUAAAAUAGGACUGCGAUUGCUGAGCUCAAGCAAUGGAUUUUCCUUGUCCAAGAGGAGUUCCGGUAACCGUAGGUGUGAAGGAUUAAGCAUAACAGAUCAGGCUUAACAUGUGGCCAUGCAACAGCCUGAUUCAAAGAACAAAACCUGUUACAGACGACAGAAAGUUACAAUAAUUUCCAGACACAGUGUUCGUACAAUAGUCCCAGUUCCCCAAUUUGAGUUCUGUAGCUUUCACGUGGCAACACAGACACACAGCUAAUGCAAAGCUCUGGAAAAAAAACAACUGGGUCUCCGGAACAGUUCUUUAGAAGUUCAGUAAAUAUGUACAUUAUCCCAAUUAUUACUGAAAAAUAGUGUAACAAAAAGAUGUGUAACUUGUCCAUGUCUGAUAACAGUAUUUUCUUCUAAAUGAGAAGGAGGGAGCACUUACGUUUCAUAGGAUGUGAAUGCAUAACCCAUGGCAUUGUUACAGUGGCAAAGUGCAAACAUCAGGAAAACAGUUGAGGAAAUGCCUGUUUGAAAGAGGAACUGAGUAAUCGUUGGUGUGAAAAUCUUACCUUUGUAAAGCAGCUCUAGGAGUUCUCUACGCCUCUUCUUCAUGUCAAUUUCCACCUCCUACCAAGUCAGUCUGCAAAAUAAAGACCUCUAUAAAACUCAGUACCUUAAUGCCUAUGACUGUGUAACUUUCAGUCCUAGACUUUUUAAAAUUUCCAAUGCCAAUGACAAGCAAGCAAAAAGCCUUUUUUUUCAAAUAAAAAAACUAAGCCUAGGAAAAAACUCCUCAAUUUGCUUUAUGUACUGAGUAACAUACACAAAAUACUUCUGCACUACCAAAGAUAAAAGCUGUAGCAAGAUAAAGAGGGCAAAAUAUUUAGGAAAAGUCUACUAGACCUACUUUUAACAAACAUUAGGACCUUGACUUAGAACAAAAAGACCUGAAUAAAUCCUAUAUACAUUCAAAACCACUUGUUAAUAAAGAAGUGCUGACAUGUCA
Molecule: long non-coding RNA, 2529 nt
Organism: Columba livia (rock pigeon)
Lineage: Eukaryota; Metazoa; Chordata; Aves; Columbiformes; Columbidae
Exons: 2
Source: RefSeq, a predicted model, not a curated record